GAGUAGCUGGGAGUACAGAUGCACACCACCACACCCAGCCUAGAAUGAAGAAACCUGCAGUUGGGAAGCAUGAAUUUACCACCUAUUAAGACUAAGGUACAGAGAGGUCAAGUAACUUGCCCAAAGUCACACAACUAUCAAGGAGCAGAGCUGAGGUUUGAUGUCACAGAGGGGUCAAGAUACAGUCAUAUUUAUUAAACAGCCUACUUCAUGCUUUGAACAGAAGAGUUUUAUCAGUUUUAAAUGUUUCUUCAUUUCUAUACCUUCUUUUAUCUGAGGAGCUUAAGCCAUUUUGUAGAGGCAUUAAGUAUUGCCUCAGUCUUAAUAUGUGAGACAAGGUGUGAGGAAUAUAGAGAUUCAUAAAAUAAUCCCCAUCUUCAAGGAACUCACAGUCAGGAAGAACAGAGCCUGCAACACAAAUAAUUGCAAUAUAGUAGAAGUGCCAAUAGGAGCUCUAUGAAGGGCGUGAAACAGGAAAGGCUACAUAGAGGAGAUGGCAGACACUCUGUGGAUUGUGACCUGUUGGUGGGCCAUGAAAUCAAUUUGGGGGUUUGAGAGCAUCAUUCUUUUAAUAAAACAGAAGAGAAUCAUCUGCAAUAAGGAACCCAUGGAUGAAUACCAUCUGGUCCUGGUGAUUUACUGCACAGAGUCCCUCAAGUUGCUCCAUACCUUUCUCCUGAGAGACUGAAGAAUCUCUGUCAAGGCCGUUCUCUGCUUUGCCAUAAAAUGUGUCCUUGGAACAAGAAUUUCCCCAUUGUCUUCUUCAAUAAAUACUGAUUCAAAGU
Long non-coding RNA from Homo sapiens (human), 785 nucleotides. Ensembl annotates it as long intergenic non-protein coding RNA 466. NCBI's taxonomy places the organism in Eukaryota, Metazoa, Chordata, Mammalia, Primates, Hominidae. The record is from Ensembl.